ACUUACUUAUCUGGAAGGUAGCAGGAACAGACAAAAAGGGAGCACGCUAACAGCAGCCCAGUCAAGCAGCUUACUGAAAUGCUCUGCAUGGGUCUAGGAGACCAGAGCAGAACCAAGAGCGUCCAACAGGAGUCACCUGACUCUCAGUUCCACCUGCAGAAAAAAAAACUACAUCCAGAGGCCAGGUAAAAGGACCUGGGACAGAGAAAUGGAAGAUGGGGAAGUUGCGCGCAUCAGCAUGCAGCAAGGAAAAGCUGACAUGCAAAUCUCAAAGGUGGAAACAGAUGCCAAGCAGAGUGACAGAGAGAAAAAGCUGCAACAAACAGGCCAGGUUGCAGGGCUUUGGUGACUCCUGAAUUCACUGGCAUUUGUACCUGUUCAGUGAGACAUUUCAAGAAGCUGAGCUGACCAGAAACUAUCCCUAUGAAAAAAGCGUCAUCAAUCUGGCCAGGGCAGCUCCACAAAGUACUAGCACACAGAGGAAAGCAUACUCAGGUGAAAAGGAGGACAGGGCUGGAUCACAGCAAUCCCAAUUUAACAUCAGCUUCAAAAGCUGUGCAACCACAGCCUAAAUGAGUCGAUUCUUGAACAUGUACCCUCCAGAUAUUCUUGUGUAGCAGGACACGCCUAUUAUCCCAUUUCAUGGAUAACAAAGAGAUUUCAAGUAAAGUGCCAAAGCUCACACAGGAAACCUCUGGCAGGAGUGGGAAGUUGAAUUUAGGCUUGGUAUGAUUCAAGAAGUGCCUCCUCCAACAACUGGACUCUGUCCCUUGAAGCUGUCUCUGCAGCAAAGAGCUGGAAUCCUAAGAGGCAAAGGAAGUACUAUUUUAAAGGCAGGAAGCAGAUACCCAUAUGAGAAAAGUGACUUUCCCAAAGUCAGAUGCAGUUGUUCUUAAUUACAGGCAAAACCCACACUUGCCAGAACCACUGGCAAAAAUUAAUUCAGACCUACAGAAAUUUGUGUUUACAAGACAGUCCUUGCCUAGUAUUAUACAACCACAUCUUCUAGGAUCCUGAAACGAAGAGUAACUUUUUUUUUUUUUAAAUCAACCCCUUAAGUUCCUUUUUUCUGAUGAGGAAGAAAAUAACAGUUAAACAGCCAUCUGAUUAUCAUCAGAAUACAUUCUGAACAAUGUUUCAGUUUUGCUGCUUGGUUCUUGAGAAGACACCCUUUGGGAAAAUCAAACGCAGCACAUGCUGAAUAAUUUCCUAUCAAGGGCACAUAAGAGAAUGAAGUAUCUAAAAAUGCUUGUGUAACAAGUCAUCUAUGCCUCAUAAGGUAUUUGGGUUUUUUCUUGUGUCUAUAUCUCAUAAGAAAAAGAAAGGUUCUUUC
Molecule: non-coding RNA, 1333 nt
Organism: Phalacrocorax carbo (great cormorant)
Lineage: Eukaryota; Metazoa; Chordata; Aves; Suliformes; Phalacrocoracidae
Source: RefSeq, a predicted model, not a curated record